This is a long non-coding RNA of Zingiber officinale, 545 nucleotides long. RefSeq lists it as uncharacterized. The record is from RefSeq and is a predicted model, not a curated record. NCBI's taxonomy places the organism in Eukaryota, Viridiplantae, Streptophyta, Magnoliopsida, Zingiberales, Zingiberaceae. The transcript is spliced from 4 exons.
CCACUAGGUUCGACCUAGCGCCGCCGCCCCUCUCCGAUCUCCUCUGUGUCGGCCUCCUCCACACUGUGCCCUAAUUCCCCGGUCUCCUCUCAUCAGAGUCGAGCCUUCUUCACAGCGACUUCCUGUGCCCUAUCGCCGGUUUUCUGCCACGACGCUGACCCCUCUGCUGUCGGCGACGAGCCACCUCUCUGGCUCUCUUUGUGCCGGCGACCGAUCCUCCUUUCCUCCUCACGGCAGAGCACCCCGGCAAGAGCACCAUUCCUCCCCUUACUGUGCCGUGCCUAGUUUAGGUGCGGCCGAGCCUUCCUUUGUGUUCUAGGUUCCGGUUGAGAAUCUGUGCGGUGGAUUUUAGCAGUAAAGCUGUAAAACUUCAGCAGCAACGAUCCUUGCUAUAGAGCCACAGCGACUGUGGUUGAGCAACCUUUUGAUUUACAGCAGCAAUUUAUCUUUGCUAGCAGUAAGUUUUGUUUUCAAGCAGCAUCUUGGUCCAGCAGCAGUAAGGACUGUGAUUCGAGAUUGGGCGUCUUGACAUCGGAUUGGUUCGA